RNAcentral lists this ribosomal RNA (543 nucleotides) under uncultured Glomeromycotina. RNAcentral describes it as "SSU rRNA". It matches the Rfam family "Eukaryotic small subunit ribosomal RNA", at positions 552 to 1096 of the family's 1831-position model. The record is from RNAcentral. Lineage: Eukaryota; Fungi; Glomeromycota.
AGGGCAAGUCUGGUGCCAGCAGCCGCGGUAAUUCCAGCUCCAAUAGCGUAUAUUAAAGUUGUUGCAGUUAAAAAGCUCGUAGUUGAAUUUCGGGGUUAGUAGGUUGGUCAUGCCUCAGGUAUGUACUGAUCUCACUGAUUCCUCCUUCCUGAUGAACCGUAAUGCCAUUAAUUUGGUGUUGCGGGGAAACUGGACUGUUACUUUGAAAAAAUUAGAGUGUUUAAAGCAGGCUAACGCUUGAAUACAUUAGCAUGGAAUAAUGAAAUAGGACGUUCGAUCCUAUUUUGUUGGUUUCUAGGAUUGACGUAAUGAUUAAUAGGGAUAGUUGGGGGCAUUAGUAUUCAAUUGUCAGGGGUGAAAUUCUUGGAUUUAUUGAAGACUAACUACUGCGAAAGCAUUUGCCAAGGAUGUUUUCAUUAAUCAAGAACGAAAGUUAGGGGAUCGAAGACGAUCAGAUACCGUCGUAGUCUUAACCAUAAACUAUGCCGACUAGGGAUCGGAUGAUGUUAAUUUUUUAAUGACUCAUUCGGCGCCUUACGGGAA